AACGCUAGCGGCAGGCCUAACACAUGCAAGUCGAGGGGUAACAUAGAGUGCUUGCACUUUGAUGACGACCGGCGCACGGGUGAGUAACGCGUAUACAAUCUGCCUCAUACUAGGGGAUAGCCCAGAGAAAUUUGGAUUAAUACCCUAUAGUAUCAUUUAGAGUCAUCUCUUUAUGAUUAAAGGUUACGGUAUGAGAUGAGUAUGCGUUCUAUUAGUUAGUAGGUGAGGUAACGGCUCACCUAGACCACGAUAGAUAGGGGCCCUGAGAGGGGGAUCCCCCACACUGGUACUGAGACACGGACCAGACUCCUACGGGAGGCAGCAGUGAGGAAUAUUAGACAAUGGGCGAAAGCCUGAUCUAGCCAUGCCGCGUGCAGGAUGACGGCCCUAUGGGUUGUAAACUGCUUUUAUACAGGAAGAAAAAACUCUACGUGUAGAGUCUUGACGGUACUGUAAGAAUAAGGAUCGGCUAA
RNAcentral lists this ribosomal RNA (473 nucleotides) under uncultured Bacteroidota bacterium. Its description in RNAcentral is "bacterial SSU rRNA". It matches the Rfam family "Bacterial small subunit ribosomal RNA", at positions 32 to 500 of the family's 1533-position model. Lineage: Bacteria; Pseudomonadati; Bacteroidota. The record is from RNAcentral.